ACGGGGUGCAGCAGGCGCGAAACCUUUGCAAUGUGCGCAGGCACGACAAGGUUAAUCCGAGUGUUUCCUGCUAAAGGAAUCUUUUGUUAGUCGUAAAACCACUGAUGAAUAAGGGGUGGGCAAGUUCUGGUGUCAGCCGCCGCGGUAAAACCAGCACCUCAAGUGGUCAGGAGGAUUAUCGGGCCUAAAGCAUCCGUAGCCGGCUCUGUAAGUUUUCGGUUAAAUCCAUUUGCUUAACAAAUGGGCUGCCGAAAAUACUACAUAGCUAGGGAGUGGGAGAGGUAGACGGUAUUCGGUAGGAAGGGGUAAAAUCCUUUGAUCUAUUGAGGACCACCUAUGGCGAAGGCAGUCUACCAGAACACGUUCGACGGUGAGGGAUGAAAGCUGGGGGAGCAAACCGGAUUAGAUACCCGGGUAGUCCCAGCUGUAAACGAUGCAGACUCGGUGAUGCGCUGGCUUGUGGCCAGUGCAGUGCCGCAGGGAAGCCGUUAAGUUUGCCGCCUGGGAAGUACGUACGCAAGUAUGAAACUUAAAGGAAUUGGCGGGGGAGCAC
This 553-nucleotide ribosomal RNA is filed under the name uncultured Nitrososphaerota archaeon. RNAcentral's name for it is "bacterial SSU rRNA". It matches the Rfam family "Archaeal small subunit ribosomal RNA", at positions 325 to 879 of the family's 1478-position model. Lineage: Archaea; Thermoproteati; Nitrososphaerota. The record is from RNAcentral.